UGGUAAUUACACUGCAGAUACAGCUGAAUUGAGACAAUCUUCUUGGGAAGAGGGAACGUGUUCUGGGCAGCACAGUCUUAGAAAGAGAAUACAUCUGAUCAUGGUAGAUAAUAAAUUGGAGAGGAUCAUAUGAGGUACUGCAGCAAUGAGAUAGUGGAUAUCAAUCCAUAAUCCAAGUCUAUGCCACCAACUGGCUAUAGUCACCCAAAGGGUGGAGAUCGGAGGAGGCAUUGUGGU
RNAcentral lists this long non-coding RNA (237 nucleotides) under Phasianus colchicus (ring-necked pheasant). RNAcentral describes it as "lncRNA (ENSPCLG00000019602.1)". The record is from RNAcentral. Lineage: Eukaryota; Metazoa; Chordata; Aves; Galliformes; Phasianidae.